UCCUGAGUUUUGGGGUACGUGUCAGAGGUGCAUUUACAUCGAACUAUUCCAGUUAAGGUAUUUGUAAAUGCACUAUCUGGUACGACAUUCCAGAAUCGAUAAUCGA
This 106-nucleotide microRNA precursor is filed under the name Anopheles quadriannulatus. RNAcentral describes it as "microRNA mir-277". The stretch from base 4 to 98 matches the Rfam family "mir-277 microRNA precursor family". The record is from RNAcentral. Lineage: Eukaryota; Metazoa; Arthropoda; Insecta; Diptera; Culicidae.